UGACCUCCAAUCUUCAUCUCAUUUCUGAUUUCUCAUUGUUUGACUUUGACUUUCAAUGUCAUUUGGUCAACAUACAUGGAUUGGUUCAUUUAUUUCAUCUUAUGCACUCUAUUUUCCCAUUUUCAUCUUCCAUUAUUCAUCGUUUUCUUCUUCUUCUUCUUUUUCUUUUUUUUUUAUCAAUGAGUUGAAGGUUGAUAAGUUAGCAUUGAUUAGGGAGACUUAACCUUCCUUGAUUCAAAUCUAAUUCAUCUUGAUC
RNAcentral lists this long non-coding RNA (256 nucleotides) under Lathyrus oleraceus (garden pea). RNAcentral describes it as "Pisum sativum (pea) long non-coding RNA (PSAT_LNC024941)". Lineage: Eukaryota; Viridiplantae; Streptophyta; Magnoliopsida; Fabales; Fabaceae. The record is from RNAcentral.